RNAcentral lists this ribosomal RNA (2904 nucleotides) under Escherichia coli. RNAcentral's name for it is "bacterial LSU rRNA". It matches the Rfam family "Bacterial large subunit ribosomal RNA". The record is from RNAcentral. Lineage: Bacteria; Pseudomonadati; Pseudomonadota; Gammaproteobacteria; Enterobacterales; Enterobacteriaceae.
GGUUAAGCGACUAAGCGUACACGGUGGAUGCCCUGGCAGUCAGAGGCGAUGAAGGACGUGCUAAUCUGCGAUAAGCGUCGGUAAGGUGAUAUGAACCGUUAUAACCGGCGAUUUCCGAAUGGGGAAACCCAGUGUGUUUCGACACACUAUCAUUAACUGAAUCCAUAGGUUAAUGAGGCGAACCGGGGGAACUGAAACAUCUAAGUACCCCGAGGAAAAGAAAUCAACCGAGAUUCCCCCAGUAGCGGCGAGCGAACGGGGAGCAGCCCAGAGCCUGAAUCAGUGUGUGUGUUAGUGGAAGCGUCUGGAAAGGCGCGCGAUACAGGGUGACAGCCCCGUACACAAAAAUGCACAUGCUGUGAGCUCGAUGAGUAGGGCGGGACACGUGGUAUCCUGUCUGAAUAUGGGGGGACCAUCCUCCAAGGCUAAAUACUCCUGACUGACCGAUAGUGAACCAGUACCGUGAGGGAAAGGCGAAAAGAACCCCGGCGAGGGGAGUGAAAAAGAACCUGAAACCGUGUACGUACAAGCAGUGGGAGCACGCUUAGGCGUGUGACUGCGUACCUUUUGUAUAAUGGGUCAGCGACUUAUAUUCUGUAGCAAGGUUAACCGAAUAGGGGAGCCGAAGGGAAACCGAGUCUUAACUGGGCGUUAAGUUGCAGGGUAUAGACCCGAAACCCGGUGAUCUAGCCAUGGGCAGGUUGAAGGUUGGGUAACACUAACUGGAGGACCGAACCGACUAAUGUUGAAAAAUUAGCGGAUGACUUGUGGCUGGGGGUGAAAGGCCAAUCAAACCGGGAGAUAGCUGGUUCUCCCCGAAAGCUAUUUAGGUAGCGCCUCGUGAAUUCAUCUCCGGGGGUAGAGCACUGUUUCGGCAAGGGGGUCAUCCCGACUUACCAACCCGAUGCAAACUGCGAAUACCGGAGAAUGUUAUCACGGGAGACACACGGCGGGUGCUAACGUCCGUCGUGAAGAGGGAAACAACCCAGACCGCCAGCUAAGGUCCCAAAGUCAUGGUUAAGUGGGAAACGAUGUGGGAAGGCCCAGACAGCCAGGAUGUUGGCUUAGAAGCAGCCAUCAUUUAAAGAAAGCGUAAUAGCUCACUGGUCGAGUCGGCCUGCGCGGAAGAUGUAACGGGGCUAAACCAUGCACCGAAGCUGCGGCAGCGACGCUUAUGCGUUGUUGGGUAGGGGAGCGUUCUGUAAGCCUGCGAAGGUGUGCUGUGAGGCAUGCUGGAGGUAUCAGAAGUGCGAAUGCUGACAUAAGUAACGAUAAAGCGGGUGAAAAGCCCGCUCGCCGGAAGACCAAGGGUUCCUGUCCAACGUUAAUCGGGGCAGGGUGAGUCGACCCCUAAGGCGAGGCCGAAAGGCGUAGUCGAUGGGAAACAGGUUAAUAUUCCUGUACUUGGUGUUACUGCGAAGGGGGGACGGAGAAGGCUAUGUUGGCCGGGCGACGGUUGUCCCGGUUUAAGCGUGUAGGCUGGUUUUCCAGGCAAAUCCGGAAAAUCAAGGCUGAGGCGUGAUGACGAGGCACUACGGUGCUGAAGCAACAAAUGCCCUGCUUCCAGGAAAAGCCUCUAAGCAUCAGGUAACAUCAAAUCGUACCCCAAACCGACACAGGUGGUCAGGUAGAGAAUACCAAGGCGCUUGAGAGAACUCGGGUGAAGGAACUAGGCAAAAUGGUGCCGUAACUUCGGGAGAAGGCACGCUGAUAUGUAGGUGAGGUCCCUCGCGGAUGGAGCUGAAAUCAGUCGAAGAUACCAGCUGGCUGCAACUGUUUAUUAAAAACACAGCACUGUGCAAACACGAAAGUGGACGUAUACGGUGUGACGCCUGCCCGGUGCCGGAAGGUUAAUUGAUGGGGUUAGCGCAAGCGAAGCUCUUGAUCGAAGCCCCGGUAAACGGCGGCCGUAACUAUAACGGUCCUAAGGUAGCGAAAUUCCUUGUCGGGUAAGUUCCGACCUGCACGAAUGGCGUAAUGAUGGCCAGGCUGUCUCCACCCGAGACUCAGUGAAAUUGAACUCGCUGUGAAGAUGCAGUGUACCCGCGGCAAGACGGAAAGACCCCGUGAACCUUUACUAUAGCUUGACACUGAACAUUGAGCCUUGAUGUGUAGGAUAGGUGGGAGGCUUAGAAGUGUGGACGCCAGUCUGCAUGGAGCCGACCUUGAAAUACCACCCUUUAAUGUUUGAUGUUCUAACGUUGACCCGUAAUCCGGGUUGCGGACAGUGUCUGGUGGGUAGUUUGACUGGGGCGGUCUCCUCCUAAAGAGUAACGGAGGAGCACGAAGGUUGGCUAAUCCUGGUCGGACAUCAGGAGGUUAGUGCAAUGGCAUAAGCCAGCUUGACUGCGAGCGUGACGGCGCGAGCAGGUGCGAAAGCAGGUCAUAGUGAUCCGGUGGUUCUGAAUGGAAGGGCCAUCGCUCAACGGAUAAAAGGUACUCCGGGGAUAACAGGCUGAUACCGCCCAAGAGUUCAUAUCGACGGCGGUGUUUGGCACCUCGAUGUCGGCUCAUCACAUCCUGGGGCUGAAGUAGGUCCCAAGGGUAUGGCUGUUCGCCAUUUAAAGUGGUACGCGAGCUGGGUUUAGAACGUCGUGAGACAGUUCGGUCCCUAUCUGCCGUGGGCGCUGGAGAACUGAGGGGGGCUGCUCCUAGUACGAGAGGACCGGAGUGGACGCAUCACUGGUGUUCGGGUUGUCAUGCCAAUGGCACUGCCCGGUAGCUAAAUGCGGAAGAGAUAAGUGCUGAAAGCAUCUAAGCACGAAACUUGCCCCGAGAUGAGUUCUCCCUGACCCUUUAAGGGUCCUGAAGGAACGUUGAAGACGACGACGUUGAUAGGCCGGGUGUGUAAGCGCAGCGAUGCGUUGAGCUAACCGGUACUAAUGAACCGUGAGGCUUAACCUU